This is an RNA transcript of Prosopis cineraria, 1267 nucleotides long. It is a transcript of the gene named methylesterase 17-like, with no coding region annotated. The transcript has 5 exons. Lineage: Eukaryota; Viridiplantae; Streptophyta; Magnoliopsida; Fabales; Fabaceae. The record is from RefSeq and is a predicted model, not a curated record.
AUGUUGGUGAGCGCAGAGAAAGCCAUACCUGCGACUGUGAGAGAGGAAGGGGUCGGCAUGACAGAAACAGGAGCAAUUCCAUUGAAGCAGCACUUCGUUCUGGUACAUGGCAUAGGAGGAGGAGGUUGGUGCUGGUAUAAAAUUCGGUGCCUUAUGGAGAAUUCUGGCUACAAGGUCUCAUGCAUAGACCUCAAGAGUGCUGGAAUUGAUCGAUCUGAUGCCGAUUCUAUUCUUUCCUUUGAUGAGUACAAUCAGCCUCUCAUGGAUUUCAUGUCCGCUUUGCCUGAGAAUGAACAGGUGAUAUUGGUGGGACAUAGCGCAGGAGGGUUGAGUAUUACUCAGGCCUGUCAUAAGUUUUCAAACAAGAUCCGAUUAGCAGUGUAUACAGCAGCUACUAUGCUCAAGCUCGGAUACCAGACAGAAGAGGAUAUGAAAGAUGGGAUACCUGACUUAUCUGAGUUUGGGGAUGUGUACGAGCUAGGAUUUGGACUGGGAACAGAUAAGCCCCCAACCAGUGCUGUGGUGAAGAAAGAGUUUCAACGCAAAAUCAUAUACCAUUUGAGCCCCCACGAGGAUUCAAUCUUAGCUGCAAUGCUUUUGAAGCCCGGGCCGGUUCUUGCUAUAACCAGCGCGCGAUUUGACGAUGAAGGGGAAGUGGAGAAGGUUAGGCGCGUGUACAUAAGGACGAAGCACGAUAAGGUGGUGAAAGGAGAGCAACAAGAGUCGAUGAUAAAGAAGUGGCCACCAUGUGCAGUGUAUGAACUGGACAGCGACCAUAGCCCCUUCUUCUCUGCGCCAUUCGUCCUCUUCGGCUUGCUCGUUAAAGCUGCAGCUUUUGACGUUGGAUGCAACUUCCUAAGCUGAGGCUUGAGGGACCCUUUUUCCUUUUUUGCUUUGCUGCAUCCAUCUUCAAGCAAUCCGCGGGAGAGAGGCAGUUUGGUAUCCAGUUUCGAGAGACAAGGAUCAUGUUAUGGUUGCCUUCUAAAUACGAGGAAUCUGAGUUUAAAAUGUGGAUACACUAUCAUGUGAAUAGAGAUGAACAAAUCCCUCAGUUAUUGCGAAAAUGAAAAAAAAGAAGAAGAAGAUGAAUAGAUCCCACAAUUGAUUUUAAAUAGAAUUCGAAUUUGCCAGGGCCUGCCAAGUAGUUUUAUGAUCCUCUUAAUAUGAUCAUUAUAUUAAACCCGUGUUAAUUACAGAAUCCGGACAAGUUUCUGGUUCCAAAGAAAAAAGAUGAAUGGCACAUUUAAAAAUAACGUUGGUUCAAUUA